Molecule: ribosomal RNA, 678 nt
Filed under: Flavobacterium columnare
Lineage: Bacteria; Pseudomonadati; Bacteroidota; Flavobacteriia; Flavobacteriales; Flavobacteriaceae
Description: bacterial SSU rRNA
Rfam family: Bacterial small subunit ribosomal RNA
Source: RNAcentral
GGAGCUUGCUCCUUUGAGACCGGCGCACGGGUGCGUAACGCGUAUGCAAUCUACCUUGUACAGGGGGAUAGCCCAGAGAAAUUUGGAUUAAUACCCCAUAGUAUUUUCAGAUGGCCUCAUUUGAUUAUUAAAGUUCCAACGGUACAAGAUGAGCAUGCGUCCCAUUAGCUAGUUGGUGUGGUAACGGCAUACCAAGGCAACGAUGGGUAGGGGUCCUGAGAGGGAGAUCCCCCACACUGGUACUGAGACACGGACCAGACUCCUACGGGAGGCAGCAGUGAGGAAUAUUGGUCAAUGGGCGCAAGCCUGAACCAGCCAUGCCGCGUGCAGGAUGACGGUCCUAUGGAUUGUAAACUGCUUUUGUACAGGAAGAAACCCUCCCUUGUAAGGGAGCUUGACGGUACUGUAAGAAUAAGGAUCGGCUAACUCCGUGCCAGCAGCCGCGGUAAUACGGAGGAUCCAAGCGUUAUCCGGAAUCAUUGGGUUUAAAGGGUCCGUAGGCGGUUUUAUAAGUCAGUGGUGAAAUCUGGUCGCUCAACGAUCAAACGGCCAUUGAUACUGUAAGACUUGAAUUACUUGGAAGUAACUAGAAUAUGUAGUGUAGCGGUGAAAUGCUUAGAGAUUACAUGGAAUACCGAUUGCGAAGGCAGGUUACUACGAGUAUAUUGACGCUGAUGG